This 496-nucleotide ribosomal RNA is filed under the name Trochalus sp. DA3049. Its description in RNAcentral is "partial 16S large subunit ribosomal RNA". It matches the Rfam family "Bacterial large subunit ribosomal RNA", at positions 1844 to 2600 of the family's 2925-position model. Lineage: Eukaryota; Metazoa; Arthropoda; Insecta; Coleoptera; Scarabaeidae. The record is from RNAcentral.
UUUAAGGUCUAAUCUGCCCUAUGAGGAAUUAAAUGGCCGCGGUAUUUUGACCGUGCAAAGGUAGCAUAAUAAUUAGUUUUUUAAUUGAAAGCUGGAAUGAAUGAUUGGACGAGAAAAUGACUGUCUCAAAUUAAAUUAAUUAGAAUUUUAUUUUUAAGUAAAAAAGCUUAAAUUUUUUUAAAAGACGAGAAGACCCUAUAGAGUUUUAUAAUUAUUUAUAUAUAUAUAUUUUUAGGAUUAUAAUUUUAGUAUAUUUGUAUUUAUUUUAUUGGGGUGAUAGAAAAAUUAAAUUAACUUUUUUUUAUAUUAAAACAUUAAUGUAUGAUUAAAUGAUCCAUUUUUAUGAUUAAAAGAUUAAAUUACCUUAGGGAUAACAGCGUAAUUUUUUUUUAGAGUUCUUAUCGAAAAAAGAGAUUGCGACCUCGAUGUUGGAUUAAAAUAAAUGUUUGGUGUAGGGGCUAAAUAAUUAGGUCUGUUCGACCUUUAAAAUUUUACA